RNAcentral lists this ribosomal RNA (429 nucleotides) under uncultured bacterium. RNAcentral describes it as "bacterial SSU rRNA". It matches the Rfam family "Bacterial small subunit ribosomal RNA", at positions 355 to 776 of the family's 1533-position model. The record is from RNAcentral.
UGGGGAAUUUUGGACAAUGGGGGAAACCCUGAUCCAGCAAUGCCGCGUGUGUGAAGAAGGCCUUCGGGUUGUAAAGCACUUUUGUCAGGGAAGAAAUUGUUUGCAAUAAUACUGCGAAUAGAUGACGGUACCUGAAGAAUAAGGACCGGCUAACUACGUGCCAGCAGCCGCGGUAAUACGUAGGGUCCGAGCGUUAAUCGGAAUUACUGGGCGUAAAGCGUGCGCAGGUGGUUGUGUAAAACAGAUGUGAAAUCCCCGGGCUUAACCUGGGAAUGGCAUUUGUCACUGCACGGCUAGAGUGCGCCAGAGGGGGGUAGAAUUCCACGUGUAGCAGUGAAAUGCGUAGAUAUGUGGAGGAAUACCGAUGGCGAAGGCAGCCCCCUGGGGUGACACUGACGCUCAUGCACGAAAGCGUGGGGAGCAAACAGG